AUUGAACGCUGGCGGAAUGCUUUACACAUGCAAGUCGAACGGCAGCACGGACUUCGGUCUGGUGGCGAGUGGCGAACGGGUGAGUAAUGUAUCGGAACGUGCCCAGUCGUGGGGGAUAACGUAGUGAAAAUUACGCUAAUACCGCAUACGAUCUAUGGAUGAAAGCGGGGGAUCGCAAGACCUCGCGCGAUUGGAGCGGCCGAUAUCAGAUUAGGUAGUUGGUGGGGUAAAGGCCCACCAAGCCAACGAUCUGUAGCUGGUCUGAGAGGACGACCAGCCACCCUGGAACUGAGAAACGGUCCAGGCUCCUACGGGAGGCAGCAGUGGGGAAUUUUGGACAAUGGGCGAAAGCCUGAUCCAGCCAUUCCGCGUGCAGGAUGAAGGCCCUCGGGUUGUAAACUGCUUUUGUACAGAACGAAAAGGUUUCUACUAAUACUAGGAGCUCAUGACGGUACUGUAAGAAUAAGCACCGGCUAACUACGUGCCAGCCGCCGCGGUAA
This 500-nucleotide ribosomal RNA is filed under the name uncultured bacterium. RNAcentral's name for it is "partial 16S ribosomal RNA". It matches the Rfam family "Bacterial small subunit ribosomal RNA", at positions 30 to 523 of the family's 1533-position model. The record is from RNAcentral.